This 1344-nucleotide ribosomal RNA is filed under the name metagenome. Its description in RNAcentral is "bacterial LSU rRNA". It matches the Rfam family "Bacterial large subunit ribosomal RNA", at positions 1599 to 2925 of the family's 2925-position model. The record is from RNAcentral.
CCUAUGCUGCCAAGAAAAACCUCGUAGUUAGUUGGCACGGGACCCGUACCCUAAACCGACGCAGGUGGUCAGGUAGAGAAUACCAAGGCGAUCGAGAUAACUGUGGUUAAGGAACUCGGCAAAAUGCAUCCGUAACUUCGGGAGAAGGAUGGCCCUUUCUGGUGUAGGACUUUUCGUUCGAAGCUGGGGAGGGUUGCAAAAAGCAGGCAGAAGCGACUGUUUACCAAAAACACAGCAGCGUGCUAAGCCGCAAGGCGCUGUAUACGCUGUGACGCCUGCCCGGUGCUGGAAGGUUACGGGGAAAGGUUAGCCGCAAGGCGAAGCUUUGAACCUAAGCCCCAGUAAACGGCGGCCGUAACUAUAACGGUCCUAAGGUAGCGAAAUUCCUUGUCGGGUAAGUUCCGACCCGCACGAAUGGCGUAACGAUUUCUGCACUGUCUCAACCACAGACUCGGCGAAAUUGAAGUACGAGUAAAGAUGCUCGUUAACUGCGGCAGGACGGAAAGACCCCAUGCACCUUUACUCUAGCUUGAUGUUGGGUUUUGGUACAUAUUGUGUAGGAUAGGUGGGAGACUAGGAAGCAUUGGCGCCAGCCAGUGUGGAGUCAACGUUGAAAUACCACCCUGUGUGUGCCGGGACUCUAACCUCGACCCGUUAUCCGGGCUGGGGACAGCGUCAGGUGGGGAGUUUGACUGGGGCGGUCGCCUCCCAAAAUGCAACGGAGGCGUCCAAAGGUUCCCUCAGGCUGGUUGGCAAUCAGCCGCUGAGUACAAAGGCAAAAGGGAGCUUGACUGCGAGACCAACAAGUCGAGCAGGUACGGAAGUAGGGCUUAGUGAUCCGGCGAUUGCAUGUGGAAGCGUCGUCGCUCAACGGAUAAAAGGUACGCUGGGGAUAACAGGCUAAUCUUGCCCAAGAGUCCAUAUCGACGGCAAGGUUUGGCACCUCGAUGUCGGCUCGUCGCAUCCUGGGGCUGAAGCAGGUCCCAAGGGUUGGGCUGUUCGCCCAUUAAAGCGGUACGCGAGCUGGGUUCAGAACGUCGUGAGACAGUUCGGUCCCUAUCCGCCGCAGUCGCAGGAGAUUUGAGGAAGGCUGUCCCUAGUACGAGAGGACCGGGACGGACGCAGCUCUGGUGUGCCAGUUGUUCUGCCAAGAGCAUGGCUGGUUUGCCACCUGCGGAACGGAUAAGCGCUGAAAGCAUCUAAGUGCGAAGCCGGUUCCAAGAUGAGAUCUCCCACAGAGUUAAUCUGGUAAGGCCCGUGGUAGCCCACCACGUUGAUAGGCCGGGUGUGUAAGAGCUGUAAGGCUUUCAGCUGACCGGUACUAAUCGGCCGAGGGCUUGGAUC